Molecule: ribosomal RNA, 500 nt
Filed under: uncultured bacterium
Lineage: Bacteria
Description: partial 16S ribosomal RNA
Rfam family: Bacterial small subunit ribosomal RNA
Source: RNAcentral
GACGAACGCUGGCGGCGUGCUUAACACAUGCAAGUCGAACGGGUCUGCCCUGUUUUUUGCGGGGUGGGUCAGUGGCGAACGGGUGAGUAACACGUGAGUAACCUGCCCCUCACUUCUGGAUAACCGCUUGAAAGGGUGGCUAAUACGGGGUGUUCUGGCUGUGCCGCACGGUGUGGCUGGGAAAGAUUCACUUUUGUGGUGUUUUGGUGGGGGAUGGGCUCGCGGCCUAUCAGCUUGUUGGUGGGGUGAUGGCCUGCCAAGGCUUUGACGGGUAGCCGGCCUGAGAGGGUGGGCGGUCACACUGGGACUGAGAUACGGCCCAGACUCCUGCGGGAGGCAGCAGUGGGGGGUAUUGCACAAUGGGCGGAAGCCUGAUGCAGCGACGUCGCGUGAGGGAUGGAGGCCUUCGGGUUGUGAACCUCCUUCGCCGGUGAAGAAGGUCCUGCUCUUUGUGGUGGGGUUGACGGUAGCCGGGUUAUGAAGCGCCGGCUAACUACGUG